CUCAAGUCAAUCAUAGUAAGAAAUAAGGCAUGCCAAUAGUCAAAAUAAAAGCAUUGCAAUUUUGUAUCUGUUUUUAUAGAUAAGCCUUUAAAUGUAACAAAAGUUGUCUUUUGUAUUGAAAUAAUUUGUUUCUAUUUUUCUCUUUCCCCUCUUGCCUCUUUAUAAAGGAGUCAGUCACUGCCAACAUAAAGUUAAGAAAGCUAGGCGCUUUCUCCCUUUGGUCUUCUGUUCCCAUGAUCCUCCUUCUACGGAUGAAAUUAGUGGGGACGAAACAGAUGAUUAUGCUGAGAUUAUAGAUGAAGAAGAUACUUACACCAUGCCCUCAAAAAGCUAUGGAAUAGAUGAAGCCAGGGAUUAUGAGAUUCAAAGAGAAAGAAUAGAACUUGGACGAUGUAUUGGAGAAGGCCAAUUUGGAGAUGUACAUCAAGGCGUUUAUAUGAGUCCAUAACAAUGCGUCAGUUUGACCAUCCUCAUAUUGUGAAGCUGAUUGGAGUCAUCACAGAGAAUCCUGUCUGGAUAAUCAUGGAGCUGUGCACACUUGGAGAGCUGAGGUCAUUUUUGCAAGUA
This 567-nucleotide small RNA is filed under the name Pongo abelii (Sumatran orangutan). Its description in RNAcentral is "processed transcript". The record is from RNAcentral. Lineage: Eukaryota; Metazoa; Chordata; Mammalia; Primates; Hominidae.